GCCUUCGUGUUGUAGUGGUCAGCACGCUCGACGCGUAAUCGAGAGGUCCGUGGUUCGAUUCCCGGGGAAGGCA
This 73-nucleotide transfer RNA is filed under the name Stegodyphus mimosarum. It matches the Rfam family "tRNA". From Rfam's summary of the family: Transfer RNA (tRNA) molecules are approximately 80 nucleotides in length. Their secondary structure includes four short double-helical elements and three loops (D, anti-codon, and T loops). Lineage: Eukaryota; Metazoa; Arthropoda; Arachnida; Araneae; Eresidae. The record is from Rfam by way of RNAcentral.